Molecule: long non-coding RNA, 354 nt
Organism: Herpailurus yagouaroundi (jaguarundi)
Lineage: Eukaryota; Metazoa; Chordata; Mammalia; Carnivora; Felidae
Exons: 3
Source: RefSeq, a predicted model, not a curated record
ACGGCACCUCCAAUCAUCCUUCCUUCCUGACGGACCAACCCCUUCUUCAUUCGUGGCUCAGGUCCAGGGAACCUGGAAACCAACGAGGAUCUGUACUGAGAAGAAAUGUCCUAGAAGAUCUUCUGCGUGGUCUCAAGUUAGCUUCGGACAUCAAUAUUUCAGAGGGAAUAAUGUGUUUUUACGUGGUAAAGUAAGAUAACAGGUACCCAGGAUUCCCUGCUAUGAACCGAAGGUUUGUUGUCUUUCUGUAUCUAAUAACAUUCGCGGAGUGAGGACCACUCUCUGCCACUGGGAACACAAGAUGUUUCUUUGGGUUUUGUUAUCUUUCUUUUUUUAAAAAAUGUUGCAACAUAA